GCGGGAAUGGCGGAAUUGGCAGACGCGCAUGAUUCAGGUUCAUGUGCUCGUACGAGCUUGCAGGUUCAAGUCCUGUUUCCCGCACGA
Molecule: transfer RNA, 87 nt
Filed under: Clostridiales bacterium
Lineage: Bacteria; Bacillati; Bacillota; Clostridia; Eubacteriales
Description: tRNA-Leu
Rfam family: tRNA
About the family: Transfer RNA (tRNA) molecules are approximately 80 nucleotides in length. Their secondary structure includes four short double-helical elements and three loops (D, anti-codon, and T loops).
Source: RNAcentral